This 467-nucleotide ribosomal RNA is filed under the name uncultured bacterium. RNAcentral describes it as "partial 16S ribosomal RNA". It matches the Rfam family "Bacterial small subunit ribosomal RNA", at positions 28 to 507 of the family's 1533-position model. The record is from RNAcentral.
GACGAACGUUGGCGGCGUGCUUAACACAUGCAAGUCGAACGGAAAGGCCCUGCUUUUGUGGGGUGCUCGAGUGGCGAACGGGUGAGUAACACGUGAGUAACCUGCCUUGACUUUGGGAUAACUUCAGGAAACUGGGGCUAAUACCGGAUAGGAGCUCCUGCUGCAUGGUGGGGGUUGGAAAGUUUCGGCGGUUGGGGAUGGACUCGCGGCUUAUCAGCUUGUUGGUGGGGUAGUGGCUUACCAAGGCUUUGACGGGUAGCCGGCCUGAGAGGGUGACCGGACACGUUGGGAGUGAGAUACGGCGCAGACUAAUACGGGAAGGAGCAGUGGGAGAUAGUGUAGAAGGGGCGGAGGGAUGCUAGAGCAACGCCGCGGGGGGGAGGGGAGCCAGCAGGUAGUAAAACGCGAACGACUGUGACGGAGCGUGAGUGACGGUAAGGGGUGAGGAAGCACCGGCUAACUACGUG